UACUUACAUCAAAUGACUCGAAUCUUGCUCACCGACUUUUUUCCUUUUUAUCCAGGUAUAUGUAUUAUGAGUGCUUCGUUAUUACAGUAUCUCAUCUUUAAAUUUUCACGGUUUUCCAAUUUGUUUUGAUUUUUACAGGAUAUUUCGAAGAAAACCGCAAUGGCAACCAAGUGUUCGUAAUGGGCGGCCACCGGUUUACCAAAGACUACCAGAAACAGUACAAGAGUCGGUGGCGAUGCAACAAAAGAAACUACGGGUGCAAGGCUUAUGUGUUGCUGCUCGAAGAAAACAUCAUUAAAUUUACAGAACAUAACCAUACUUAGAACUUGAUUCUUGACCUGUUCUUUCAUUUUUUUAUUUAUUUAAUUGUGUUUGGUUCAAAUCUUAUUUAAAAUAUAUAAUAGGGAUGGGAUUGAGAUACAGUUUCUUUCUGACCAGUAAUAUAUGAUCACGCGCCAUAUUGCGAAAUUUUAUUGCAAAUACAUUUUUCAUACUAAACUGAAUUGACACCCUAUAAAUGAGAAUAAAAGCGCCCUCUUGACAAUGAUCAUAUAUUUCUGGUCGGGCUUUAUAUUGAUAAAUUAUAGUUUUAAAUUAACUAUUAUGAUUUUUUAAUUAUAUUUUAUUUUGACCAAAUGUGAUUGUCCACUUAUUAUUUAAUUAUUUGCGAAAUAUAAUCUUACAGUCACUUCUUAUGCCAGUCGCUGUCAAGAAUUAUUAGGUUAUUGAGCGGCAUUUUUUAACCUUUCAGAUAUAUUUUUCGUCCUGAAUCACUGUGGAAACAAGGCACUACUGUUAAAUGGCCAUAAAUUUAACAGGGCGUAUAUCAAGAAAGACAGAUCUGGUGAGAUCUCUUGGAGAUGUGGCAGAAAGGAUUUUGGCUGUCGAGCCUCCGUCAUUACCAAAGGUUACAAUUAUAUAGUUGAGGCGAAAAAUGAACAUAAUCAUUGAUUUAGACGUCAUUUAAUUAAUUCAUUUUUGUUUUCAAGAUAUCUAUGGGUUGUACUGUGGAAUAUAUUACUUACGUAACGUUAUUAAAUAUAUUUUCAUUCAUCAGUCUUCAAGCCUCAGAUGUUCAGUUUAUAAAGCUUGACCAUCACUAGACCUGCAAACAUAAGCUUGGUUAUUUGGUCCCUUUUAAGGACAUCACCCAGACCCAUAUCCAGUAACUUUCCAGUCCACAUCUGCUGGGAACAUGGUGCUGAUCCUGGAAGGCAACCGAUUUAGAAUGACUUUUAAGAACCCACGAACGGGGAAAGUUACUUGGAGGUGCAACAAGCACUGGCACGGCUGCAAGAGUACAGUGCGCACCAUUGGUGACAAAGUUGUGGACUAUCAAUCCACUCAUACACAUAUUCCUUAAUAC
Molecule: long non-coding RNA, 1366 nt
Organism: Cydia pomonella (codling moth)
Lineage: Eukaryota; Metazoa; Arthropoda; Insecta; Lepidoptera; Tortricidae
Exons: 2
Source: RefSeq, a predicted model, not a curated record